AGUGAACGCUGGCGGCAGGCCUAAUACAUGCAAGUCGAACGGCAGCACAGUGGAGCUUGCUCCAUGGGUGGCGAGUGGCGGACGGGUGAGGAAUACAUGGGAAUCUGCCCAGUCGUGGGGAUAACGUAUGGAAACGUACGCUAAUACCGCAUGCGCCCUUCGGGGGAAAGUCGGGGGACCGCAAGGCCUGACGCGAUUGGAUGAGCCCAUGUUCGAUUAGCUAGUUGGCGGGUAACGGCCCACCAAGGCGACGAUCGAUAGCUGGUCUGAGAGGAUGAUCAGCCACACUGGAACUGAGACACGGUCCAGACUCCUACGGGAGCAGCAGUAGGGAAUAUUGGACAAUGGGCGCAAGCCUGAUCCAGCCAUGCCGCGUGAGUGAAGAAGG
This 388-nucleotide ribosomal RNA is filed under the name uncultured bacterium. RNAcentral describes it as "bacterial SSU rRNA". It matches the Rfam family "Bacterial small subunit ribosomal RNA", at positions 29 to 414 of the family's 1533-position model. The record is from RNAcentral.